CGUAGGGUGCGAGCGUUAAUCGGAAUUACUGGGCGUAAAGCGUGCGCAGGCGGUUUUGUAAGACAGAUGUGAAAUCCCCGGGCUCAACCUGGGACCUGCAUUUGUGACUGCAAGGCUAGAGUACGGUAGAGGGGGAUGGAAUUCCGCGUGUAGCAGUGAAAUGCGUAGAUAUGCGGAGGAACACCGAUGGCGAAGGCACUCCCCUGGACCUGUACUGACGCUCAUGCACGAAAGCGUGGGGAGCAAACAGGAUUAGAUACCCUGGUAGUCCACGCCCUAAACGAUGUCAACUGGUUGUUGGGUCUUUACUGACUCAGUAACGAAGCUAACGCGUGAAGUUGACCGCCUGGGGAGUACGGCCGCAAGGUUG
RNAcentral lists this ribosomal RNA (370 nucleotides) under uncultured organism. RNAcentral's name for it is "bacterial SSU rRNA". It matches the Rfam family "Bacterial small subunit ribosomal RNA", at positions 526 to 896 of the family's 1533-position model. The record is from RNAcentral.